RNAcentral lists this ribosomal RNA (274 nucleotides) under uncultured bacterium. RNAcentral describes it as "partial 16S ribosomal RNA". It matches the Rfam family "Bacterial small subunit ribosomal RNA", at positions 523 to 796 of the family's 1533-position model. The record is from RNAcentral.
AUACGGAGGGUGCAAGCGUUAAUCGGAAUUACUGGGCGUAAAGCGUACGUAGGCGGUCCGUUAAGUUAGAUGUGAAAGCCCCGGGCUUAACCUGGGAACUGCAUUUAAAACUGGCGGACUAGAGUUGAGUAGAUGGGAGUGGAAUUUCAGGUGUAGCGGUGAAAUGCGUAGAGAUCAGAAGGAACACCAGUGGCGAAGGCGACUCCCUGGACUCGAACUGACGCUGAGGUACGAAAGCGUGGGUAGCAAACGGGAUUAGAUACCCUAGUAGUCC